GUGGGUAUAGCUCAAUGGUAGAGCACCUGUUUAGUAUGCAUGAGGUCCUAGGUUCAAUCUCCAGUACCUCCA
Molecule: transfer RNA, 72 nt
Filed under: Camelus bactrianus (Bactrian camel)
Lineage: Eukaryota; Metazoa; Chordata; Mammalia; Artiodactyla; Camelidae
Also listed under: 2 other names
Rfam family: tRNA
About the family: Transfer RNA (tRNA) molecules are approximately 80 nucleotides in length. Their secondary structure includes four short double-helical elements and three loops (D, anti-codon, and T loops).
Source: Rfam by way of RNAcentral